Molecule: ribosomal RNA, 1486 nt
Filed under: Acaulospora sp. 1 SL-2015
Lineage: Eukaryota; Fungi; Glomeromycota; Glomeromycetes; Diversisporales; Acaulosporaceae
Description: eukaryotic LSU rRNA
Rfam family: Eukaryotic large subunit ribosomal RNA (bases 697-1486)
Source: RNAcentral
CCUAGUAAGCGUGAGUCAUCAGCUCACGUUGAUUACGUCCCUGCCCUUUGUACACACCGCCCGUCGCUACUACCGAUUGAAUGGCUUAGUGAGACUCUCGGAUUAGGAUUAAGUAACCGGCAACGGUUCCUUUUUUUUGAGAAGUUUGUCAAACUUGGUCAUUUAGAGGAAGUAAAAGUCGUAACAAGGUUUCCGUAGGUGAACCUGCGGAAGGAUCAUUAGUAUAAAGGAAAGAUUUUUAUCUUUCUAAGUCUUUUAUUCAAAAAAUUUUCAAUCUUAAUAAUAAAUCUUUUAAAAAUAAAUAAAUAAAAAUUUUAUGAUAACUUUCAACAACGGAUCUCUUGGCUCUUGCAUCGAUGAAGAACGCAGCGAAAUGCGAUAAGUAAUGUGAAUUGCAGAAUUCCGUGAAUCAUCAAAUCUUUGAACGCAAAUUGCACUUCUUGGUAUUCCGAGGAGUAUGCUUGUUUGAGGGUUAGUUUACAAAAAAUCGCGAAAAUUUUUUUGCGGACCUGGGUUUUCCAAGUUUCUUUAAUUUUGGUAACCUAAAAUUUAUCCUAAUAAUCUUAAGUGAUAUAUUGGAAAUAUUCUAUCUUGCAAUUUUUUUUUGUAAGUUUAUUAACAAUCAUCACUAAUUAUUAUGCCGUGUUAUCAUCUGAUGCUUUUUUAUUAGGUGAGAUAACACAAUUUAUAUUUAACUAACCUCAAGUCAAGUAAGAAUACCCGCUGAACUUAAGCAUAUCAAUAAGCGGAGGAAAAGAAACUAACAAGGAUUCCCUUAGUAACGGCGAGUGAACUGGGAAAAGCUCAAAUUUAAAAUCACUUAGGUUUAGCUGAGUGAGUUGUAAUUUGAAGAAGGUGAUUUGAUCACUAGUUUAAUCUCUAAAUCCUUUGGGAUGAGGUAUCAUAGAGGGUGAGAAUCCCGUUUAUGGGUAAACAUUUGGUGGUCAUUUAAUUCAUCAUUCUAAGAGUCGAGUUGUUUGGGAUUGCAGCUCAAAAUGGGUGGUAAAUUUCACCUAAGGCUAAAUAUAUGCAAGAGACCGAUAGCGAACAAGUACCGUGAGGGAAAGAUGAAAAGUACUUUGAAAAGAGAGUUAAACAGUACGUGAAAUUGUUGAAAGGGAAACGAUUAAAGUCAGUCAUGCUAGUAGGAAAUCAACUUGGUGGUGUUGAGAUUUUUUCUUGUCACUUCCGUGUGUACUUUCUUGCCCGGCAGGUUAACAUCAAUUUUGGUUGUCAUCAAAGAACUGGGGGAAUGUUUCUUCUCUUCGGAGGAGUGUUUAUAGACCUUGGUAGAUGUGGCGACUGGGAUUGAGGAUUGCAGUGAAUGCCUUUAGGCUAGUCACCUGGCUUCUGAUGGUCACCUCGCUUCCGACAGCUUGCUGACGGUUGUGGGAUUUGAUUGUCUAGAUGUUAGAAUGAUCAUAAAUUCGCUAAGGAUGUUGACGUAAUGGCUUUAAACGACCCGUCUUGAACACGGACCAAGGAG